GACGUAGGGCGCAAGCGUUGUCCGGAUUUAUUGGGCGUAAAGAGCUCGUAGGCGGCCUGUCGCGUCGACCGUGAAAACCCGCAGCUCAACUGCGGGCUUGCGGUCGAUACGGGCAGGCUGGAGUUCGGUAGGGGAGACUGGAAUUCCUGGUGUAGCGGUGAAAUGCGUAGAUAUCGCUUGGAACGCCGAAGGUGAAAACAGGCUGCUGGGGUUGCGCCGACGCUGAGACACGAAAGCCAGGGGAGCAAACGGG
Molecule: ribosomal RNA, 253 nt
Filed under: uncultured bacterium
Lineage: Bacteria
Description: partial 16S ribosomal RNA
Rfam family: Bacterial small subunit ribosomal RNA
Source: RNAcentral